GGACUACUGGGGUAUCUAAUCCUGUUUGAUCCCCACGCUUUCGUGCAUGAGCGUCAAUAUCUGCGUAGUAAGCUGCCUUCGCAAUAGGUGUUCUAUGUCAUAUCUAAGCAUUUCACCGCUACAUGACAUAUUCCGCUUACCUCCACAGCAUUCAAGAUAUAUAGUAUCAACGGCAAUUUCCAGGUUAAGCCUAGAGAUUUCACCACUGACUUACAUAUCCGCCUGCGCACCCUUUAAACCCAGUAAAUCCGGAUAACGCUUGCACCCUCCGUAUUACCGCGGCGGCUGGCAC
This 292-nucleotide ribosomal RNA is filed under the name uncultured bacterium. Its description in RNAcentral is "partial 16S ribosomal RNA". The record is from RNAcentral. RNAcentral also lists the same sequence under 1 other name.